UACGGGAGGCAGCAGUAGGGAAUCUUCCGCAAUGGACGAAAGUCUGACGGAGCAACGCCGCGUGAACGAUGAAGGUCUUCGGAUCGUAAAGUUCUGUUGUCAGGGAAGAACAAGUACCGUGCGAAUAGAGCGGUACCUUGACGGUACCUGACGAGGAAGCCCCGGCUAACUACGUGCCAGCAGCCGCGGUAAU
This 193-nucleotide ribosomal RNA is filed under the name Bacillaceae bacterium L13-C08. RNAcentral describes it as "partial 16S ribosomal RNA". It matches the Rfam family "Bacterial small subunit ribosomal RNA", at positions 340 to 524 of the family's 1533-position model. Lineage: Bacteria; Bacillati; Bacillota; Bacilli; Caryophanales; Bacillaceae. The record is from RNAcentral.